This is a long non-coding RNA of Ipomoea nil (Japanese morning glory), 624 nucleotides long. RefSeq lists it as uncharacterized. The transcript has 4 exons. The record is from RefSeq and is a predicted model, not a curated record. NCBI's taxonomy places the organism in Eukaryota, Viridiplantae, Streptophyta, Magnoliopsida, Solanales, Convolvulaceae.
UGUUGGCCAGGCUCUCGAGUACCCUCGAGUAGCACUCCAGAAUCGCGUAUCCCACGUCCUGAAGUGUAAGGAAAACAAGGUCCACCAUUGACAGGAACUGAUGAGGAUCGAAAUACUCAAGAGUUAUGCUCUUGUAGAGUGAAUCGCCAAGGCUUGCUCUGCCAUUCUGCACAAUUCAGGUAACAAAAUCGAUCGGGUUUUCAAGAAUGCAGCAGUGCUAUCUAGCUAGUGUGUUCUUAGCUCUCUCACCUUUGGGAGUGCUUCAAUGCAUUUCCUUGCUGAAUCUGACAGGCCACCCGGUGGAACCUUAACCGUGGGGAGCCACCAUUUCUCGCUCUUCUGGACGCCUCUCUCUGAUUCAUCCGCGUCUUUCGAGACAUACCAGAACUCAUUCUGGUCUGAGAAUUCAUCUAAGCAGUCCUGCCCAAAUUUUCGGAUGAUAUAUCAUAUAAUCUAACAGUUCACCACAUGUCAAUAUUGCAUCAGGGAAUUUGCAGGUUCUUACAAUGAGCAUGGCAUCAAGCUUCUUCAAUGCAGACAUAGGCUCCAGCUUGGAUUGUUCUCCAAAAACAGAAGCUAUAGAAAACCAGAGAGGAAACAAAUCAAGAAUCUACAAAAAAAGAC